Molecule: ribosomal RNA, 253 nt
Filed under: uncultured prokaryote
Description: partial 16S ribosomal RNA
Rfam family: Bacterial small subunit ribosomal RNA
Source: RNAcentral
AACGUAGGAGACAAACGUUAUCCGGAGUUACUGGGCGUAAAGGGCGUGUAGGUGGUUUCGUAAGUCUGGCGUGAAAGAUUUCGGCUUAACCGGGACAGGUCGUCGGAGACUGCGAGGCUAGAGGACGGUAGAGGCGUGUGGAAUUCCGGGUGUAGUGGUGAAAUGCGUAGAGAUCCGGAGGAACACCAGUGGCGAAGGCGACACGCUGGGCCGUACCUGACACUGAUGCGCGACAGCAUGGGGAGCAAACAGG